CACUAACCAUUGGAAAGUGCGUUAAGGAUGGAAAUGGCAUCCUUUUUUUGAGGUACGAAAAAAAAGAUAUAAUGGACAGCCUGACUCUAC
RNAcentral lists this small RNA (90 nucleotides) under Winogradskyella eximia. Its description in RNAcentral is "Flavo-1 RNA". It matches the Rfam family "Flavo-1 RNA". The record is from RNAcentral. Lineage: Bacteria; Pseudomonadati; Bacteroidota; Flavobacteriia; Flavobacteriales; Flavobacteriaceae.